UACGUAGGGUGCGAGCGUUAAUCGGAAUUACUGGGCGUAAAGCGUGCGCAGGCGGUUCGUUGUGUCGGCGGUGAAAGCCCCGGGCUUAACCUGGGAAUGGCCGUUGAAACUGGCGAACUGGAGUGUGGCAGAGGGGGGGUGGAAUUCCGCGUGUAGCAGUGAAAUGCGUAGAGAUGCGGAGGAACACCGAUGGCGAAGGCAGCCCCCCUGGGCCACUACUGACGCUGAGAAGCGAAAGCAUGGGGGAGCGAACAGG
This 256-nucleotide ribosomal RNA is filed under the name uncultured bacterium. RNAcentral's name for it is "partial 16S ribosomal RNA". It matches the Rfam family "Bacterial small subunit ribosomal RNA", at positions 524 to 776 of the family's 1533-position model. The record is from RNAcentral.